CAGUAGCCACGGUAAUACGUAGGGUGCAAGCGUUAAUCGGAAUUACUGGGCGUAAAGCGUGCGCAGGCGGUUUGUUAAGACAGAUGUGAAAUCCCCGGGCUCAACCUGGGAACUGCAUUUGUGACUGGCAAGCUAGAGUCUGGCAGAGGGGGGUGGAAUUCCGCGUGUAGCAGUGAAAUGCGUAGAUAUGCGGAGGAACACCGAUGGCGAAGGCAGCCCCCUGGGCCAACACUGACGCUCAUGCACGAAAGCGUGGGGAGCAAACAGGAUUAGAUACCCGUGUAGUCCCUGUCUCUUAUAC
RNAcentral lists this ribosomal RNA (301 nucleotides) under uncultured bacterium. RNAcentral's name for it is "partial 16S ribosomal RNA". It matches the Rfam family "Bacterial small subunit ribosomal RNA", at positions 509 to 807 of the family's 1533-position model. The record is from RNAcentral.